RNAcentral lists this long non-coding RNA (6743 nucleotides) under Theobroma cacao (cacao). RNAcentral describes it as "long non-coding RNA (TCAC_LNC004138)". The record is from RNAcentral. Lineage: Eukaryota; Viridiplantae; Streptophyta; Magnoliopsida; Malvales; Malvaceae.
GUAGUACAGACAACGAAAAAAACCAUCUUCUUCUGUCUGUCCAUAUAAUCCAUGUACGUAUCAUGCAAGAACCUCACAUUCUUUCAAUGAAACUCUCGCGCUUUCUCUUCGUCCUCCUUCUCUCCCUCUCUCUUUUCCUCUCUGCCACCUCCCAUGGCGGCAGUGAUGAUGAUGACAAGGGUGCAGGUGAAAGCAAUGAGCCUCCUCAUAGCCUACGUUCCAAAUCCUUGGUCUCGGUCAAGAUAUGGUGCUUGAUUCUCGUGUUUGUAUGGACCUUCAUCGGUGGGGUGUCACCAUAUUUCCUGAAAUGGAACCAGGGUUUUCUGGUAUUGGGAACUCAGUUUGCUGGUGGGGUUUUCCUGGGGACUGCCAUGAUGCAUUUCUUGAGCGAUGCCAAUGAAACCUUUGAGCGUUUGACGAGUAAAGAAUACCCUUUUGCGUUUAUGUUGGCCUGUGCUGGAUAUUUGUUGACCAUGGUGGCUGAUUGUGUGGUUUCUUAUGUGUACGGGAAGGACAAGAGUUCAUCUAAUCAUGGUGAUUUGGAACUUCAAGGUAAGAAACUGUUUCCUGUAUUUUUUUGUUUGAGUUAAAAAAUUCCGGUAAAGAAAAAGAGGUCUACCUUUGUUUGGUUGCUGAGGCAAGGAGAGAAGAAAUUCAAAGUUAAUGACUGUUAAACAUAAUCCAGAUAUAGCUGUUAGGUGAGACAAGCAAAGGCCCAUAGUUUUGUUGGUUUCACAUGUCAUGUCUUGUUUAUUUAUUACUUGUUAAAGAAAUGGUUUAAGGAAAGGAAAAAGAAUAUGAGCAACAGUGUUUGGUCGCUGUGAAAAUUUGGGAAAAAGAUAAGUUGUUUCUGCUCGAAAUUUUCUUGGUAAAGACUUUGGGACUAAGAAUGGUUUCUGAAUGGUUUAAUGCUGUUGUUGAGUAAUAAAUUAUCUUAGUCCGGCAAAGUCGCAAAGACUAGUGCUUUUAUGGUGAUCCUGGCGGUUGAACUGUUACAAUGAGAGCUGUAACAGGGACAAUCAAAUCACAGUUUCACUUUCUUACCUCGUACAUGUCUUGUCUAAACUGCAGGGCCCGAGCAGACCAAUAGUAAUCCUCAUGGUCAUGGCAAUCCGCCGGUGAGCUAUGUAUGGUCUUUUUCUUACAGAAAUUAUUCCUGAGACUUGGUUUCUGUUGAUGUUUGAUGGCCUUGUUCGCUUUUGUAGGGUGGCAAUGGCACUGAUACCACCAGCGCGCGGUCCUUAUCACUCACAACUGUGAGUUCCUUUGGAGACAGUGUUUUGUUGAUCGUUGCCUUGUGCUGCCAUUCAGUCUUUGAGGGCGUCGCUAUCGGAGUUGCAAAGACAGAAGCCGCUGCCUGGAAAGCAUUGUGGACGAUCUCCUUGCACAAGAUAUUUGCAGCAAUUGCAAUGGGAAUAGCACUGCUCCGGAUGAUCCCUGAUUAUCCCCUGUUGUCUUGUGUAGCCUACGCUUUUGCAUUCGCCAUUUCGAGUCCUAUCUGGGUGGCCAUCGGGAUCCUAAUCGAUGCCACGAUUGAGGGUGUCGUGGCUGAUUGGAUCUUCGCCAUAUUGAUGGGUUUAGCAUGUGGAGUGUUCAUCAACGUAUCAAUAAACCAUCUGCUAUCAAAAGGUUACACUCCCCAGAAGACAAUUUCAGUUGACACACCCCAUCACAAGGUUUUGGCUGUCUUGUUAGGUGUUGGAGUGAUUGCUGUUGCGAUGAUCUGGGACACUUGAUAGCUAUUGUAACUUGGGUACCGUCUGAGUUUUGGUUUGCUAAAGUUUAAAGGGAUUAGGUUUUCUCUAGUAUCUGUCAUAGUUGCUUGAUCACAUGCUUCAUUCUAUUGGUCCAUAGAACUAUAAUUCUUCUCCAUGGAAAAAGAAAAAUCUAUAAGUUGUCUUUAUCAUAUAUUUAUACCUUUGAUGGACAUAUUUUCGGAAUCUAAUAUGGAAUCAUGGAUCAAAGUUAGGGAAUUUCUGGACAAGUGGUAUCUGCUAAAACUAGAUUUCAUGCUGACUAUUGUAAUGGGAUUCUUGUGAUAGGGAAAAGAAGCGUUGCAAACAAGUAAAAGAAUGCGUCGGAGGUGGCAGAUAGAAAGAUUGGAGCAGUUCCUGAAGUACUAAGUGUAAUGACAAGUAGAAUAAAGUAAAAAGAGAAUUCAAGAGUAAAAAAAAAUUAGAGAGAGAAUUUAGAGAGAGAAGCUUUCAAGCUGAGAAUGUGUUAGCUCAGAAGGGGAGAGAAAAGCCCAUCUAAAUGACUUGUGAAGCUCUAUACAUAGUGUUAAAAGUGACGGUUACUCAAAAAUAAGUUUUAAUGCGCCUAAUAAAUGAUAUUAUUAUGAACAUUAAUGUGAGUAAUCGUUACUGUAAUUGAAUGUAAUAAGACUUGUUCUCAAGCAAAAGGUAAUAGAAAAAAAGUAUAUAAAAAUAGAUACAAAAGAAAAAGUUAUACGAGAAUAAAUACAAGAGAAAAAGCUGUACAUGAAUAAGUGUACGAGAACAAGGUAAUAGGGUGAAAUGCUUGUACUUCAGGAAAGGAUUAAGAGGAAGACCUCUUAACUACCUCCAUAUCUGAGUUACCAAGUUAAAUUCUUCGAAACAUCCCAAGAUGAAAGUAUAAGUCAAACUCUCCGAAACAUCUCAAAAUGAAAGUAAUCCAUGAACCAUGCCACUUAUUCCGAGUUACUUUCACUGUCACCAAAGUGAAGUGAUUAUUCUAUUCAAAAUAACUGUUAUACUUGUAUUAGUUAUUCCAUAUGGAGCAGUACUUUACUUAUUCUAAUUGUUCUGCUUUAACUAGUACUCCACUUGUUCUAAUUGUUUUGCGUGAAGUAACGCUUCACUUGUUCUAAUAGCACUUCAUUUGUUCAAGUUGUUCUCCGUAUAAUAUUAUAUUGUAAUAUAAUUUUUUAGAGUAACAGUAUUAAUCAAAAUCAAGUAUAUAAAAUUUGUCAAAAUCAAUUGAAGAGCAUAAAAAAAAAUGAAGAACAGAGGAACUACAAGCAGAUGUUUUUCAUGAAAAAAAAUAGGGGUUCAAAAACUCUCAUGUUCAUCCUACUAUUGACUGUAUUUAUAUGAACACUUACAUCAGAUCUGAAAUACUCGGUAUUGGAAAAAGAAAUAAGAGGAAAAAACAGCUGUGCACAGGAUACCACAAAUGGGUUUCUGUGCAUUUCAACAGCCACAGCAACAGCAAACCAGAAAUAACAAGAAUACCAGGCAAAUAAAAAAAAACAUGAAAAAAACAUGUGGCUUUCUCAACCUUACAGACCAAAUGAAACGACUUACCAACGCACCGUUUAAUCAAAAUAAAAGAAACACUAAUAAGUGAUAAAAAGUCAAGCUGAUUUUCAUUUCAUUAGCUCUUGAACUGUUGGUUGAAAAUGACAUUGUGUCUAUCUUCUUCCUUUCUUCAGCUGCUUUGAAAUUGUGCCCAGACUCAUCUUCUUCUCUUUUAUCAGAUGGAAUUACUCAACACUCAACAAUCUACAACUAUAAUACAUGAAUCAUGUUAAGCACGACUACUUCAUAGGAGGGUAUAGAACUUACUGGUGAUAAUACAAUAAAGUCAGAUUCAUCUAGUGACUCUUGCCUUCCGGAAACACAGGUAGAUCAGCAACACACUUCAGCCUUUGAAAUAAACACCUUUUUCGUGUUGCUUGAGUUCAAUGAGUUUGCCACGCCUAAUAUUCCAGGCCGAAUCAUGUACUUAAUCAGACACAACACAAGCAUGGAAACUGUUUCGUAUUAUAACUAUACCAAGGGAGAAGAGACAUCGAAAAGUUCAUUAGUAAACCAAGAACAAGAAUUGACCCAAAAAGGGAAAGAUUUGGAUCAGCAGCUCGAGAAGCAGUUUCUGCUUCAAAAAUCUACAAUAAAAAGUGUAUUAUUGGUAAAAUUUCAUUAAAUUCUCAAAGAAAAGGUGCUAAAGUGCAAUUGUGAAAUUUGAAGUAGUUGAGUGAGUAAUAUCCCGUGCUCUAGAGGUCCAAAUGGCGAGCUGUCUCAAGGCUAACUGAUACUAUAAUGGGCCCAGCCAAGUCUCCAACAGCACAGCCCGUUAUGAUGCCAUUGUAAGGCAGUUAAAACUUAUACGCAAAUUUGGGAUGUUAGUAACUGGUAACUAUUUGCUAUAAACUACAAAGAGCAGAAGACACAUAUAGGUGACUAACUUACCAACCCACUGACCCAUUGAAGGACGGAUAAGAGUGGCACGAAUCCCUGCUCCAAAGGAAGCAAAAAUCAAUGAAGCUCCACACCUGAUUGUAAUACCAGAAAUCUUCUUUACAAGAAGUUUAGCUUGCUCUGUAAUGUUGACCCCAUCACUCUGUCCAGAGUUCGUUAUGCGAGAAAAGCAUCGGUAGAUUUCAAUACCAGAUUGGACAAGCCAUGCUGCCGCAACUCCAAGAAAAUGACCUGAAUAAACAUCAGGCAGAAGAAAGAGAUGUUACGAAGCUAAAGCAACGAUUUAACAAUAUAACAGAGGCAUAUGAUAAUGGUUUUGACCUCUCAAAGUUGUUCUGCUAACUCUGAAGAAGUAUACUGUAGUAGGCAUUCCCCUUUAGGACUUCCAGACAGAUGAUUUCGGAACAUCUGCAUAUGUUGAUCAAACUCAUCAGCAGCUAAUAAUAAUAACCAUAAAGCAACAAGAUUUUGAUUAAUAAGAGUAAGGGCAUUAUUUUCCCAAUUACAUUCAAGCAGGCAAGUUAUAGUAGAGCCACCACCAUAACUUUGUAGAAUGAUGGACAAGAAGUACUUUUAAGGAGUUUCCACGCCAUGCGUUGUGAAACAUAAAGGACAGCAAGUCUUUCAAGGACCCGUCUUGUAGUUACAACAGUAGUCUGAGUAGGCCUAAAACACAAUACUGUUAAGCUGGUCCUUAAACAGUAAAGGAUUGUCUCAAUUGCAGGGCAAUGUUAUUCGUUGAUUAUUGUCACGGUUAUUCGUUCUUGCAAUAUUCAGUUACUUUCCACAAGAAAAAUCUUAGCCUAACCUAAAACCUGAGGGAUUAAUUUACUCAUCUUUCUCCCUUUUAAUGACAGAUUUGUAAUGCUCUCAUGGAACGUACUCGAUCAUCAUUUGAUGUAAGUCUUGACUUUCUCUUGCUGCUGAGUUAGGAUAUGAUCCGUGAUCGGAUACCAUGAUGCAACAAGAAAAGGAUUUUGGUUAUUUGUUUUUGACAAUUGCAACAAUCUCACUGUCCUCAGUCGAAAGCAAUCUAGUUCUUUACCAGUUCUGUCAGGAUCAUGAAAGUAUUGACUAGUUCGAAGAAAUGGGGUGCUUCAAUUAUUCUACUUCCGUUGUCCUUGAACUGGCGAUUGACAUGUUCUGGCUUGAUCAAAUCCCUGUGUUUUGGUGGGUUCACACAUCUUUGUCCUGAACCAAGGGCUUUGAAAGUGUGAACCUUGGGUGUGAACGGUGAAAGUCUACCCACGCCCGUCAGCCAUGGACCCAACUUCACGACGAAGCCAGUCUUGAAAGUGGAUCCCACUUUGAUGUUUCUUUCAGACUUUCACGACAUGUUUACGGUCCUUUCUAGUUUCUACCUAGGUGCCAAAUAUUAGGACCAUAAUAGCUAGCUUAGCAGUAACGCAAAUCAGAAACUCCAUGGAUAACUUGUCUUUGAGAAUCUGACCUUUAGAUGUGCAUUCAGGAUUAAGAUCUAAUGGGAGAUUCUCAUUCCAUGACAUUUUUAUAAUUCUCUUUGUUUCAAAUUGCAUGUUGGUCUUAUUAUUAUUAUUGUGUUGUUUCACUAGGCAUUAUUCAUAAGUCCUGGUAGAUAUGGUUAUUAACUUAUAAUUUAACUCAUUAAAUCUUAUAUUGUUUGUCUUUUGUUGUUGUUAUUCAAAUAUUUAAUUUCAUAAAAGAUUUGACCAUGAAAUAAAUUAAAAGAAGUAUCUAAUAUUUUUUCACCGACACUUUCAUCCAUAUAUUUUUUUAUCAAUACAUUUCACUUUCAAAGAGUAAAUAUAAACUUCACUUUCAUGUUUUUGGGUUUCAAUUUAUUUUAUGUGAUGUCAUGUAAUUUUUUAAUUUUUUUUUAAAAAAUACAAAAUAUUAUCUGAAAAAUGUUAAUAUAGGAACCGUGUAAGUAGAAUUUACUUUGCCUUUUUUUUUUUUACAUAUAACGUAUUAAUCUAAAGAAGCCAAAAAAAUGUCAUCUACCUAGGUUCCAUCAUGGGCAAAUCAUUAAAUCAGUGAAGGUAAUUGAAUGAACAGAUCAAGUUUGUCUGUCUUUUUUUUUUUUCCUUUUUUUGUUUUGUUUGUAGUACUACACUUGUAAUAUCAACCUCCAUUUCGGCAUUUCCUGGUACUUCCUUAUGCUUUUGUAGUACAGACAACGACAAAAACCAUCUUCUCUCUGUCCAUAUAAUCCAUGUAUGUAUCAUGUAAGAACUUCACAUUCUUUCAAUGAAACUCUCACGCUUUCUCUUCUUCCUCCUUCUCUCCCUCUCUCUUUUCCUCUCUGCCACCUCCCAUGGGGGCAGUGAUGAUGAUGACAAGGGUGCAGGUGAAAGCAAUGAGCCUCCUCAUAGCCUACGUUCCAAAUCCUUGGUCUUGGUCAAGAUAUGGUGCUUGAUUCUUGUGUUUGUAGGGACCUUCAUCGGUGGGGUGUCACCAUAUUUCCUGAAAUGGAACCAGGGUUUUCUGGUAUUGGGAACUCAGUUUGCUGGCGGGGUUUUCCUGGGGACUGCCAUGAUGCAUUUCUUGAGUGAUGCCAAUGAAACUUUUGAGGAUUUGACGAGU